RNAcentral lists this ribosomal RNA (468 nucleotides) under uncultured bacterium. RNAcentral describes it as "partial 16S ribosomal RNA". It matches the Rfam family "Bacterial small subunit ribosomal RNA", at positions 28 to 507 of the family's 1533-position model. The record is from RNAcentral.
GACGAACGCUGGCGGCGUGCUUAACACAUGCAAGUCGAACGGAAAGGCCCUGCUUUUGUGGGGUGCUCGAGUGGCGAACGGGUGAGUAACACGUGAGUAACCUGCCCUUGACUUUGGGAUAACUUCAGGAAACUGGGGCUAAUACCGGAUAGGAGCUCCUGCUGCAUGGUGGGGGUUGGAAAGUUUCGGCGGUUGGGGAUGGACUCGCGGCUUAUCAGCUUGUUGGUGGUGUAGUGGCUUACCAAGGCUUUGACGGGUAGCCGGCCUGAGAGGGUGACCGGCGACAUUGGGACUGAGAUACGGCCCAGACUCCUACGGGAGGCAGCAGUGGGGAAUAUUGCACAAUGGGCGGAAGCCUGAUGCAGAAACGCCGCGUGCGGGAUGACGGCCUUCGGGUUGUAAACCGCUUUCGCCUGUGACGAAGCGUGAGUGACGGUAAUGGGUAAAGAAGCACCGGCUAACUACGUG